Molecule: ribosomal RNA, 276 nt
Filed under: Shigella flexneri
Lineage: Bacteria; Pseudomonadati; Pseudomonadota; Gammaproteobacteria; Enterobacterales; Enterobacteriaceae
Description: partial 16S ribosomal RNA
Rfam family: Bacterial small subunit ribosomal RNA
Source: RNAcentral
AAAUUGAAGAGUUUGAUCAUGGCUCAGAUUGAACGCUGGCGGCAGGCCUAACACAUGCAAGUCGAACGGUAACAGGAAACAGCUUGCUGUUUCGCUGACGAGUGGCGGACGGGUGAGUAAUGUCUGGGAAACUGCCCGAUGGAGGGGGAUAACUACUGGAAACGGUAGCUAAUACCGCAUAACGUCGCAAGACCAAAGAGGGGGACCUUCGGGCCUCUUGCUAUCGGAUGUGCCCAGAUGGGAUUAGCUAGUAGGUGGGGUAACGGCUCACCUAGG